Molecule: long non-coding RNA, 724 nt
Filed under: Populus trichocarpa (black cottonwood)
Lineage: Eukaryota; Viridiplantae; Streptophyta; Magnoliopsida; Malpighiales; Salicaceae
Description: long non-coding RNA (PTRI_LNC000618)
Source: RNAcentral
AUAAUUAAAUAAAAUCUGAUUUGGAUAAAACGGACUCACUAGUCACGUACGCUUACAUUCGCAAACCCAGAAACAAAUCGAGCAUUUCCACGAGGAUAGCAGUCACCUAUCCUUUGAUUUUCACAGUAUCGCGCUGCUCAUUUACUCCGUGAGAGCGAGGAACCACGGACGGAGAUACAACACCAACCAGGAGAGGGUCAAAUAAGUAAUUUCAACAAUACAGUAAUUAAAUCAGUUAAUUGUAAUUGCCCAACCCUCCAAAUUAAAGAAUUCCAAAAUACUUACAGGUAUACGGGAAUAAUGGUAAAAAGCUGAAGGAGUUAGAAAAAAAAACAAGAAGAAGAAAGAAAAUCUUGCAAAUCCGACCACCGAAUCCCCGGAUACAGUGGGAAACAGCAGUCUUUAUGCUAAAAGUGUUACACGCGACAUACAACUUUUAAUUAACACGCCGUCUUAUCUUUGACACACCAUUCACUAAGGACACUCAUGUACCCUGCUUCUCCUGUGCACCCCCUCCUAGACCACUCGAUCAAGAGUCACAGAGCACGUGGCGGGAUCUGGGAGGUCAUGCCUGGUGAUAAAAAAAAAAAGAAACAAAACAAAUGAUGAGCGGGAAAAGAGGCAAGGGACUACUAAUAUUACAACUACGCAUCGCAUCGCCGUUGGGAUCUUAUAGAGCGCAUGCACUUGCGCACGCUUGGGCUGGCUCGUGCUUCAAUAUAAG